This 951-nucleotide long non-coding RNA is filed under the name Gadus morhua (Atlantic cod). RNAcentral describes it as "lncRNA (ENSGMOG00000032757.1)". The record is from RNAcentral. Lineage: Eukaryota; Metazoa; Chordata; Actinopteri; Gadiformes; Gadidae.
GGGGGCGCAGGAGCCCCAGGCUACCAUGGACUACCGGGGAUGAUUGGUUACCCUGGCAACGAAGGCCCCCCAGGGCCCUCUGGAGCCAAGGGUCACCAAGGUCUUGUUGGAAGCUCAGGACCAAAAGGCUCCAGGGUAAGAUGUCUCUCUUUAUCUCUUUAUAUAUUAAUAUAUAGAGAUAUAUAGAGAGAUAAAGAUGUAUAUCUUUCUAUGCAUCCUUAUUAACACUUUAAUUCAUUGGACUUGGAGUAUGUUUGCAGGGGCUCCAACCUAUGAUUAACCAUAAGAACCAAGCAUGUUUUCCUCCCAUGUCCUGCAGGGUCUUCCUGGAAAACCAGGAUUCCCUGGUACUCCAGCUCAGCCAGGAAUACCUGGCAGUGAAGGACCUAUCGGCCAGCCAGGACUCCCAGGAUGCAAUGGGACAAAGGGAGGAGAGGGGUAUCUGGGGCUGCCUGGUGUUCCAGGUCCGGUUGGGUUACCAGGUAUCCCUGGUCAACAUGGACCCAAGGUAAUUUUUUUUGCAUGAUGCCUCUUUCAAAAUCACUAAAACAUAGUUUUAUUCCCAAAUGGAACGGUUCCUUACUGUUUUUAAUGCAAUUCUGUCUAUACUGCUUCCUGCAGGGAGAGUCAUUAUUCUUUGCAUUGGGAGAGGAAAUUGAAGGCAUCCGAGGGCCCCCUGGACAAGACGGAUACGCAGUGAGUCUGUCUAAGAAUAAGUUUGAUAUUCAAUAAAAUUAAAGGUCAAGCUGGAAACAUAGGUAGGUCCUACUGUAACCACAGUUCUGUCAAGUCCUACUGUAAACACAGAGGUACGUUAUACUGUAAAUAGUUAUGUCCUAUUGUUAACAGAGCUGGGUCCUAGUGUAAAAACAGUUUUUUUCCGAGUGUAAACAGUUAGGUCCCGGUGUAACACAGCUCGGUCCUACUGUGUUAGGUCCUACUGUAAACACG